AACGAACGCUGGCGGCAUGCCUAACACAUGCAAGUCGAACGAGACCUUCGGGUCUAGUGGCGCACGGGUGCGUAACGCCUGGGAACCUGCCCUUAGGUUCGGAAUAACUCCCCGAAAGGGGUUCUAAUACCGGAUAAUGUCUUCGGACCAAAGAUUUAUCGCCUUUGGAUGGGCCCGCGUUGGAUUAGCUAGUUGGUAGGGUAAAAGCCUACCAAGGCGACGAUCCAUAGAUGGUCUGAGAGGAUGAUCAGCCACACUGUGACUGAGACACGGCCCAGACUCCUGCGGGAGGCAGCAGUGGGGAAUAUUGGACAAUGGGCGAAAGCCUGAUCCAGCAAUGCCGCGUGAGUGAUGAAGGCCUUAGGGUUGUAAAGCUCUUUUACCCGGGAUGAUAAUGACAGUACCGGGAGAAUAAGCUCCGGCUAACUCCGUG
Molecule: ribosomal RNA, 433 nt
Filed under: uncultured bacterium
Lineage: Bacteria
Description: partial 16S ribosomal RNA
Rfam family: Bacterial small subunit ribosomal RNA
Source: RNAcentral